RNAcentral lists this ribosomal RNA (253 nucleotides) under uncultured bacterium. Its description in RNAcentral is "partial 16S ribosomal RNA". It matches the Rfam family "Bacterial small subunit ribosomal RNA", at positions 524 to 776 of the family's 1533-position model. The record is from RNAcentral.
UACAGAGGGUGCGAGCGUUGUUCGGAAUUACUGGGCGUAAAGCGCGUGUAGGCGGUUCGAUAAGUCAGAUGUGAAAUCCUGGGGCCUAACUCCAGAAGUGCAUUUGAAACUAUCGAGCUGGAGUGAUGUAGAGGAUGGCGGAAUACCCAGUGUAGAGGUGAAAUUCGUAGAGAUUGGGUAGAACACCGGUGGCGAAGGCGGCCAUCUGGGCAUUAACUGACGCUGAGACGCGAAAGCGUGGGGAGCAAACAGG